Molecule: long non-coding RNA, 1485 nt
Filed under: Monodelphis domestica (gray short-tailed opossum)
Lineage: Eukaryota; Metazoa; Chordata; Mammalia; Didelphimorphia; Didelphidae
Description: lncRNA (ENSMODG00000043845.1)
Source: RNAcentral
CAAAUAUUUGUUGAAUGAAUGAUUAACUACACUUUAGUCCCCAUCCAGAUGGGGUUGAGUGCCUGGACAAGAUGGCAGCUGCAGCAGGGCAGGAGUUGGGGAGAACAGGAGGAACCUCCCUCUGCAAUUUUAAAAUAUUUGAUAAUCACAGCCUUGGAAAAGAGGACUGAAUGACCUUCCUUGUCAUUAUCAUGCCAUCUUGACAGUUUGAUUCCUUCCCAACAUGCCCGUGUCACUUUCGCUUUGGCUGACACCUGAAAUCUGCAGGACAGCUUCCCUGAUUCUUGCUGAGGCAAAUGCCCUGAUGCCAGCAGGAUAGAGCCCCAGGAAGUCCCUACAGCCUCAUCCCAAGUUCAAAUCCCCAGGUGGGUUUUGAACUGAUUACAUCAGAGAUCGCUGGGUCAGCGCAUUCAUCAGGAACUUUUCAAUCCUCUGAGCAACCUAAAAUGGGAUUGACCUCUUCCAUCUUCCUUCUUGAAGCUGGAAACCAGAAGUGCCCAAACAGAGUCACUGCUUGAAAAUUCUCAAAGAACACAGGACAAGAACCAAAGUUCUUUUGCUGUCCCCAACUACCUCCAUCCCCUCAUGCAGGAUAAUGUGGCCUUGGCUACCAGAAGUAAGUUCCAUCACUCAGCUGAAUCUCAAACUCAGCCCACUCUGCCAAGAGGCAUGUUACUCGGCUUCAUUUUGCUCACAAAAAUAAAUAUUUUAAGUCAGAACAGAUGCUGUCUUCCUGGCCUCAUGCCCUGUUGCUUUCAACAUGGUACCAACCCCCUCCAGUUCCUAAAGUUGAGAGAGCACAGAGAGAGGCCCCCUGAGGGAGUGGGGUCAUCCUUUCUGGGGCCUUGGCUGGGGAGGAUUCAGGCCAGAGAACUGUGAAAAGGUCCUAGAGGAGGUAAGAGUGGGAUAAGGGAGGGGGUGAGAGGUUGUGUAUAGCUCUAGAGAAACAAAGCUUGAUAGAUAAGAUUAAUCCUCCUGGGAUAUCUUCUAUGGCUACUGGUAGGGGAGGCAGGAGGAGACAAGCAGAGGAGGAGGCAGGAUUGAUGACACUGUCAUGGAGGCCAGAGUGAGGAGGCUCCCCUGUGCUGGGAGAGGUGUUCAAACAAAAAGAAAAGAUGAGAAGAAAGGAUGAAGGUCACAGGUAAUGGCCCAGAUAAAAAUAAUAAUUCACAUUUAUAAAGAAUACAUUGCAUACAUUAUUUAUCAGGUAGAUUCCAUUAUUACUUCUGUUUUACAGAUGAGGAACCUGAAACUCAAGGUAACAACUUGUACCAGAAAGUUUUUAUUAUUAUCACCAUUUUGCAGAUGAGGAAGCUAGAUAUCAGAGAGGGUAAGCAACUUGUCCAGGACAAGUAAGUAUCUGAGCAGAAUUCAACCUAGAUCUUCAGGGUUCUGAAGUCAACUUGCAUCCACUGUGUCAUUUCCCCUUUCUAAAGUAGUUUAAUGCUCCUCCCCAUUGUCCUGAUGGACAAGUCAGCAGGAGAU